GUAGGUGAACCUGCGGAAGGAUCAUUAAUAGAGCAAAAGACAGGCAGCGCCCCAUAGAAGCUUGCUUCGUGGUGGGCUACCCUACUCUGGUAGGGUUUAGAGCCGUCGAACCUCUCGAAGAAGUUCGGUCUUGAACUCCACCCUUGAAUAAAUUACCUUUGUUGCUUUGGCAGGCCGCCUAGCGCCAGCGGCUUCGGCUGUUGAGUGCCUGCCAGAGGACCACAACUCUUGUUUUUAGUGAUGUCUGAGUACUAUAUAAUAGUUAAAACUUUCAACAACGGAUCUCUUGGUUCUG
This 295-nucleotide unclassified non-coding RNA is filed under the name rhizosphere metagenome. RNAcentral's name for it is "partial ribosomal RNA internal transcribed spacer region". The record is from RNAcentral.